RNAcentral lists this ribosomal RNA (200 nucleotides) under uncultured bacterium. RNAcentral's name for it is "partial 16S ribosomal RNA". It matches the Rfam family "Bacterial small subunit ribosomal RNA", at positions 30 to 236 of the family's 1533-position model. The record is from RNAcentral.
AUUGAACGCUGGCGGCAUGCCUUACACAUGCAAGUCGAACGGUAGAGUAGCAAUACUCGAGAGUGGCGAACGGGUGAGUAAUAUAUCGGAACGUGCCCAGUCGUGGGGGAUAACGUAGAGAAAUUUACGCUAAUACCGCAUACGAUCUAAGGAUGAAAGCGGGGGAUCGCAAGACCUCGCGCGAUUGGAGCGGCUGAUAU